UGAUGGUGCUUGCACCUGAUUGAUUUUGGUCGCCAACGAGUGGCGGACGGGUGAGUAACACGUAGGUAACCUGCCCAGAAGCGGGGGACAACAUUUGGAAACAGAUGCUAAUACCGCAUAAGAACGUUGUUCGCAUGAACAACGCUUAAAAGAUGGCUUCUCGCUAUCACUUCUGGAUGGACCUGCGGUGCAUUAGCUUGUUGGUGGGGUAACGGCCUACCAAGGCGAUGAUGCAUAGCCGAGUUGAGAGACUGAUCGGCCACAAUGGGACUGAGACACGGCCCAUACUCCUACGGGAGGCAGCAGUAGGGAAUCUUCCACAAUGGGCGCAAGCCUGAUGGAGCAACACCGCGUGAGUGAAGAAGGGUUUCGGCUCGUAAAGCUCUGUUGUUAAAGAAGAACACGUAUGAGAGUAACUGUUCAUACGUUGACGGUAUUUAACCAGAAAGUCACGGCUAACUACGUGCCAGCAGCCGCGGUAAUACGUAGGUGGCAAGCGUUAUCCGGAUUUAUUGGGCGUAAAGAGAGUGCAGGCGGUUUUCUAAGUCUGAUGUGAAAGCCUUCGGCUUAACCGGAGAAGUGCAUCGGAAACUGGAUAACUUGAGUGCAGAAGAGGGUAGUGGAACUCCAUGUGUAGCGGUGGAAUGCGUAGAUAUAUGGAAGAACACCAGUGGCGAAGGCGGCUACCUGGUCUGCAACUGACGCUGAGACUCGAAAGCAUGGGUAGCGAACAGGAUUAGAUACCCUGGUAGUCCAUGCCGUAAACGAUGAGUGCUAGGUGUUGGAGGGUUUCCGCCCUUCAGUGCUGGAGCUAACGCAUUAAGCACUCCGCCUGGGGAGUACGACCGCAAGGUUGAAACUCAAAGGAAUUGACGGGGGCCCGCACAAGCGGUGGAGCAUGUGGUUUAAUUCGAAGCUACGCGAAGAACCUUACCAGGUCUUGACAUCUUGCGCCAACCCUAGAGAUAGGGCGUUUCCUUCGGGAACGCAAUGACAGGUGGUGCAUGGUCGUCGUCAGCUCGUGUCGUGAGAUGUUGGGUUAAGUCCCGCAACGAGCGCAACCCUUGUUACUAGUUGCCAGCAUUAAGUUGGGCACUCUAGUGAGACUGCCGGUGACAAACCGGAGGAAGGUGGGGACGACGUCAGAUCAUCAUGCCCCUUAUGACCUGGGCUACACACGUGCUACAAUGGACGGUACAACGAGUCGCGAACUCGCGAGGGCAAGCAAAUCUCUUAAAACCGUUCUCAGUUCGGACUGCAGGCUGCAACUCGCCUGCACGAAGUCGGAAUCGCUAGUAAUCGCGGAUCAGCAUGCCGCGGUGAAUACGUUCCCGGGCCUUGUACACACCGCCCGUCACACCAUGAGAGUUUGUAACACCCAAAGUCGGUGGGGUAACCUUUUAGG
RNAcentral lists this ribosomal RNA (1405 nucleotides) under Enterococcus faecium. Its description in RNAcentral is "bacterial SSU rRNA". It matches the Rfam family "Bacterial small subunit ribosomal RNA", at positions 68 to 1446 of the family's 1533-position model. Lineage: Bacteria; Bacillati; Bacillota; Bacilli; Lactobacillales; Enterococcaceae. The record is from RNAcentral.